Molecule: ribosomal RNA, 371 nt
Filed under: uncultured Glomeromycotina
Lineage: Eukaryota; Fungi; Glomeromycota
Description: eukaryotic LSU rRNA
Source: RNAcentral
UUGAAAGGGAAACGAUUGAAGUCAGUCGUACCGACGAGAAAUCAACCUAUCGUGUGCGAACUUGUGGGCGUGCGUGAGUUUCGGCCUCGCUGUUUGCAUGUUUGUGCGUUUUGGGUGUACUUUUUCGUAUGGUAGGCCAACGUCAGUUUCGAUUAUCAUAAAAUGACCGGCGGAAUGUAGCUUCGAUUUCGGUUGAAGUGUUAUAGCCUCUGGUAGAUGUGGUGAUUGAGACUGAGGAUUGCAACGAAUACCCUUUGGGCUAUCCGUCUGGCCUCUGAAAGUUGCUCAAGUGCCGAAAGCGUGCUUACGGUUAUCUAAGAUAACGUUCAACAGGUUAGAACGUGAUUACAUUCGUUAAGGAUGUUGACGUA